GAUGAACGCUAGCGGCAGGCUUAACACAUGCAAGUCGAGGGGUAUAGGGAGCUUGCUUCCUAGAGACCGGCGCACGGGUGCGUAACGCGUAUGCAAUCUACCUUUUGCAGAGGGAUAGCCCAGAGAAAUUUGGAUUAAUACCUCAUAGUAUGUGAGAAUGGCAUCAUUUUCACAUUAAAGUCACAACGGCAAAAGAUGAGCAUGCGUCCCAUUAGCUUGUUGGUAAGGUAACGGCUUACCAAGGCAACGAUGGGUAGGGGUCCUGAGAGGGAGAUCCCCCCACACUGGUACUGAGACACGGACCAGACUCCUACGGGAGGCAGCAGUGAGGAAUAUUGGACAAUGGGCGCAAGCCUGAUCCAGCCAUGCCGCGUGCAGGAUGACGGUCCUAUGGAUUGUAAACUGCUUUUGUACAGGAAGAAACACUGGUUCGUGAACCAGCUUGACGGUACUGUAAGAAUAAGGAUCGGCUAA
Molecule: ribosomal RNA, 474 nt
Filed under: uncultured bacterium
Lineage: Bacteria
Description: bacterial SSU rRNA
Rfam family: Bacterial small subunit ribosomal RNA
Source: RNAcentral